Molecule: ribosomal RNA, 116 nt
Filed under: Oryctolagus cuniculus (rabbit)
Lineage: Eukaryota; Metazoa; Chordata; Mammalia; Lagomorpha; Leporidae
Source: RNAcentral
GCCUCCGGCCGUACUAUCCUGAAAGCACCCCAUCUCAUCUGAACUCAGAAGUUAAGCAGGGUUGGGCCUGUUUAGUGUUUGGAUGGGAGACAAGUGCAAGGAAAGGUGCUUAGACC